RNAcentral lists this ribosomal RNA (200 nucleotides) under uncultured Glomus. RNAcentral's name for it is "partial small subunit ribosomal RNA". It matches the Rfam family "Eukaryotic small subunit ribosomal RNA", at positions 591 to 789 of the family's 1831-position model. The record is from RNAcentral. Lineage: Eukaryota; Fungi; Glomeromycota; Glomeromycetes; Glomerales; Glomeraceae.
CCAAUAGCGUAUAUUAAAGUUGUUGCAGUUAAAAAGCUCGUAGUUGAAUUUCGGGAUUGACGUGAUGGUCAUGCCUUAAGGGGUAUGAACUGUCACAGUUGAUUUCUCACCUUCUGGAGAAACUUGAUGUCCUUUAUUGGGUGUCUUGCGGAUCCAGGACCUUUACCUUGAAAAAAUUAGAGUGUUUAAAGCAGGCAUUU